This 72-nucleotide transfer RNA is filed under the name Felis catus (domestic cat). It matches the Rfam family "tRNA". Rfam says of the family: Transfer RNA (tRNA) molecules are approximately 80 nucleotides in length. Lineage: Eukaryota; Metazoa; Chordata; Mammalia; Carnivora; Felidae. RNAcentral also lists the same sequence under 2 other names. The record is from Rfam by way of RNAcentral.
GCCUGGGUGGCUCAGUCGGUUGAGCGUCUGACUUCAGCUCACGGUUCGUGGGUUCGAGCCCCGCGUCGGGCU